CACUAACUGGAGGACCGAACCGACUAAUGUUGAAAAAUUAGCGGAUGACUUGUGGCUGGGGGUGAAAGGCCAAUCAAACCGGGAGAUAGCUGGUUCUCCCCGAAAGCUAUUUAGGUAGCGCCUCGUGAAUUCAUCUCCGGGGGUAGAGCACUGUUUCGGCAAGGGGGUCAUCCCGACUUACCAACCCGAUGCAAACUGCGAAUACCGGAGAAUGUUAUCACGGGAGACACACGGCGGGUGCUAACGUCCGUCGUGAAGAGGGAAACAACCCAGACCGCCAGCUAAGGUCCCAAAGUCAUGGUUAAGUGGGAAACGAUGUGGGAAGGCCCAGACAGCCAGGAUGUUGGCUUAGAAGCAGCCAUCAUUUAAAGAAAGCGUAAUAGCUCACUGGUCGAGUCGGCCUGCGCGGAAGAUGUAACGGGGCUAAACCAUGCACCGAAGCUGCGGCAGCGACACUAUGUGUUGUUGGGUAGGGGAGCG
RNAcentral lists this ribosomal RNA (480 nucleotides) under Escherichia coli. Its description in RNAcentral is "partial 23S ribosomal RNA". It matches the Rfam family "Bacterial large subunit ribosomal RNA", at positions 760 to 1238 of the family's 2925-position model. The record is from RNAcentral. Lineage: Bacteria; Pseudomonadati; Pseudomonadota; Gammaproteobacteria; Enterobacterales; Enterobacteriaceae.